GCGUGAAUGGGGUAGUGGUAACCUUAAUCGUUGCCAAAGAUUCACAGUCGAUUAGCCAGGGGUUCGAUUCCCCUUUCACGCA
Molecule: transfer RNA, 82 nt
Filed under: Rhizoctonia solani
Lineage: Eukaryota; Fungi; Basidiomycota; Agaricomycetes; Cantharellales; Ceratobasidiaceae
Description: tRNA-Gly
Rfam family: tRNA
About the family: Transfer RNA (tRNA) molecules are approximately 80 nucleotides in length.
Source: RNAcentral